CACUGAUGGGCCGGGCUUAGGCCUGAAUUCUAGGCCCGAUGGCCGGGUCGGGCCGGGCUCGAACCUAGGUUUUCUGCUUCGGGCGGACCGGGCCCAAGCCUGGCCCGGCCCAACGGAUGGCUAGGUAUACCAUGGACUACUUGAUGCUCAAAUGGAGCCCACGGGCAAGUCUCUCGCAUGUACUAGUGGGCUGGGCUUUUCUUUUGCGUGAAAGGGACCGGGUUGCCCUAGGUUUAAGUUAUUUUUUUGUGGGUAGGGUUAAAUUUUUUAGUUUUUUUCUGCCAUGUGCUUGCACUUAACUAGAGUGACUAGCCUCGAAAGCGGACGUUUGGCUCUCGGGUGUAUAUGGACCGGAUAUAGAAAAUUGAUUUAGUAAUUGCAAAAAAAGUUAAUAAAUUCUAUUUUUUUGGAACAAACUUGACCUUCUAUUAUACUAGUAAACAAUAAAAAUGUUAGGAUACCGUUUUGCAUGAAAAACUAAUACCAAGCAUGCCUCAAAACGUUGAGGAUUUCCUUGAACUCGCGUCCAAGAGGCCGUUGCCAAGAAAAGGAGGAUGCUAAAUCUUUGGAAACCAAUUAAUUCCAGCUAAAAAUAUAUCAAAAGGAGGUAUCUAUUGUCUUUACGUAAAUGUGUCCUUAAAUAUCAAUUAAUACAUUAAGUCCUGCCAAAACAUCGGGCGUAUAUCCACACGAUGAUACAUUAAUUCAACGCCAAAGGUUUGAUUUCUGUCCCUCUAUAUAAACGACUAUGCAAGGGCCAAAGCUUACGACAUCCUUAAGCACACAAGGAAGAAAGAAGCGAUUCUUUGUCGAUCUCUUUGUCAUGGCAGCCCAGAGCAACGCUACCAGGAAGGCUGUGAUUUUCGUGGUUCUUAUGAUCAUGGCUUCCACCCUAUCGUCAUCGUCUUGCUACGCUCGCACAAUUGAAGAUGGAGCGAAUCUUCCAUGCUUCCAUCAGGAAAA
This is a long non-coding RNA of Aegilops tauschii subsp. strangulata, 963 nucleotides long. RefSeq lists it as uncharacterized. NCBI's taxonomy places the organism in Eukaryota, Viridiplantae, Streptophyta, Magnoliopsida, Poales, Poaceae. The record is from RefSeq and is a predicted model, not a curated record.